AUAGCGUUAUUUAUAAAUUUUUUAGAUUAUUAUUUCUAUCGAUUCUCGAAUUUUCAACGGAUUUUCAUCAAUUAAUUAAAGAAAUGGAGAGAUCAUGGACUAUAGUAAGGUUUAUAGAUGAAGAUACAGUUGAAGCUGUCCCAUCUACCUGGAUUAUCAAUAAAAAAUGUUAUUGGCCACCGUUUCACAUGGAAAAAAUUGUAGCGGCUAUCAAAAAACAUGCCGAACCAAAUACAUGUUGGCCUUCAUAUAAUGUUAUGACUUUCAGAAACAGCAGUUAUGAUAACUAUAAAACAGCCAGGGAAAAAGCCAAAAAGGCUGAAUUAACAUCUGAAUUAAACUCCGAGACUGAUAAUGAUAACAUUUCGAAAAGAAAAAUUAUCCCAAAGAAAUUCUUUUCGUCAUCAGAUGAAUCUACCGAAGAGUGCACUAAAUUACGGACGCCUCCAAUUAUGAACA
Non-coding RNA from Nylanderia fulva, 459 nucleotides. Lineage: Eukaryota; Metazoa; Arthropoda; Insecta; Hymenoptera; Formicidae. The record is from RefSeq and is a predicted model, not a curated record.